RNAcentral lists this ribosomal RNA (422 nucleotides) under uncultured bacterium. RNAcentral's name for it is "bacterial SSU rRNA". It matches the Rfam family "Bacterial small subunit ribosomal RNA", at positions 355 to 774 of the family's 1533-position model. The record is from RNAcentral.
UAGGGAAUAUUGGGCAAUGGAUGCAAGUCCGACCCAGCCAUGCCGCGUGCCGGAUGAAGGCCCUCAGGGUUGUAAACGGCUUUUAUUCGGGAAGAAGAGCACGGAUGCGUCUGUGCGUGACGGUACCGAAUGAAUAAGCACCGGCUAACCUCGUGCCAGCAGCCGCGGUUAUACGGAGGGUGCGAGCGUUUCCCGGAUUUAUUGGGUUUAAAGGGUGCGUAGGUGGCUUUUUAAGUCAGUGGUGAAAUACAACCGCUCAACGGUUGAAGUGCCUUUGAUACUUAAAGGCUUGAAACCAGUGGAGGCUGGCGGAAUGGAUCAUGUAGCGGUGAAAUGCAUAGAUAUCAUCCAGAACACCGAUUGCGAAGGCAGGUGGCUACGUUUGAAUUGACACUGAGGCGCGAAAGCAUGGGGAGCAAACA